Molecule: transfer RNA, 58 nt
Filed under: Viviparus chui
Lineage: Eukaryota; Metazoa; Mollusca; Gastropoda; Architaenioglossa; Viviparidae
Description: tRNA-Ala
Source: RNAcentral
GAUCUAAGUAAAAGUUUGAUUUGCAUUCAGAAUAGAAACUGAUUAAGUUUUUAGGUCA